Molecule: long non-coding RNA, 291 nt
Organism: Clarias gariepinus (North African catfish)
Lineage: Eukaryota; Metazoa; Chordata; Actinopteri; Siluriformes; Clariidae
Exons: 3
Source: RefSeq, a predicted model, not a curated record
AAUUUAAACCUUUUUCUUUAUUUUCUUGACAGUAUUUUAUUUAUAAAGGUUGUACUACCAGAAUGAAGUUUAUCCUUAGCAGGCUGUCGAGUUUGUGAAAAUGUGUUUAGGGCUUACUUCAGUGCUGACAUUGGUACUCUGGAAUAAACCUGGAGAGAAACAGUGAGCCAAGGAGUGAUUACAGGAUUAACCUAAAUUUAUGCUAUAAGAAGUAUGACUUUCUAAAAUAAUGUCAGCGGAGUGUGAGAAAAUGACGUCGGAAAAGAGUCUAGAAGAGGAGCUGGGAGAGAU